RNAcentral lists this ribosomal RNA (253 nucleotides) under uncultured bacterium. RNAcentral describes it as "partial 16S ribosomal RNA". It matches the Rfam family "Bacterial small subunit ribosomal RNA", at positions 524 to 776 of the family's 1533-position model. The record is from RNAcentral.
UACGUAGGGUGCGAGCGUUAAUCGGAAUUACUGGGCGUAAAGUGUGCGCAGGCGGCCAUGCAAGUCGAGUGUGAAAGCCCCGAGCUUAACUUGGGAAUUGCGCUCGAAACUACGUGGCUGGAGUGUGGCAGAGGAAGGUGGAAUUCCACGUGUAGCGGUGAAAUGCGUAGAGAUGUGGAGGAACACCAAUGGCGAAGGCAGCCUUCUGGGCCAACACUGACGCUCAUGCACGAAAGCGUGGGGAGCAAACAGG